Molecule: ribosomal RNA, 253 nt
Filed under: uncultured bacterium
Lineage: Bacteria
Description: partial 16S ribosomal RNA
Rfam family: Bacterial small subunit ribosomal RNA
Source: RNAcentral
UACGUAGGGUGCAAGCGUUAAUCGGAAUUACUGGGCGUAAAGCGUGCGCAGGCGGUUUUGUAAGACAGGUGUGAAAUCCCCGGGCUUAACCUGGGAACUGCAUUUGUGACUGCAGAGCUGGAGUGCGGCAGAGGGGGAUGGAAUUCCGCGUGUAGCAGUGAAAUGCGUAGAUAUGCGGAGGAACACCGAUGGCGAAGGCAAUCCCCUGGGCCUGCACUGACGCUCAUGCACGAAAGCGUGGGGAGCAAACAGG